Molecule: long non-coding RNA, 598 nt
Organism: Xenopus tropicalis (tropical clawed frog)
Lineage: Eukaryota; Metazoa; Chordata; Amphibia; Anura; Pipidae
Gene: mtln
Product: mitoregulin
Exons: 2
Source: RefSeq, a predicted model, not a curated record
CCCACGUGAUUUGAUUGUUCACCAAGUUUGUGCCAAGACGCGCUCCGUAGCAGCUGCCGACUGGAAGUAAAGCCGGAAGUGUGACCUUGCUACAGCUGUGGGAAGUAGUUAGGUUCUGGAGAGGCUUGAGGAGAAUCAGUAAAGCACUAUGGGCGAUGUGUCUGAGCGUACCUUGCAGGUAGCCGUGCUAUUGUCUUUCGCAUCGGGGGUGCUGGUGGGCUGGCAAGCAAACCGCCUCCGACGAAAGUACCUAGACUGGAAAAAGAAAAGGCUGCAGAACAAACUCGUAGAGACACAGAAGAGAAUAGACCUUUCCUAAGGUUGGAGGACACUGAUAUUGGGACUUUUCUCUGUCCCGUUAACUUCGGGUUUUCUAUGGAGGAGAUUAUAAUGGCAAACACGUGACUGAUGUGAGCAUUAAAUGAACCUCCAUUGUUUCUACAUAUGACUUUUAUAAAGAGACAUUCUAUUUUAAAUAUUUUUUAUGAUAUCUGGUGGACAUACUCAAAACGCAGCUGCGUACAGCGACAGAAAAAAAAGAAUACUCCUGAAAUUGCUGUGCCAUAUGGGAUUCUAAUAAAAAUGUAAUUUAAAAAAA